GAUGAAGAACGCAGCGAAAUGCGAUAAGUAAUGUGAAUUGCAGAAUUCAGUGAAUCAUCGAAUCUUUGAACGCACCUUGCACUCCUUGGUAUUCCGAGGAGUACGCCUGUUCGAGUGUUAUGAAGCUCUCAAAACGCAAUUGGCUUAAAACCUGAUUGUUGUUUUGGAUUUGAACUUUGCCGUGUUAUAACGGCUGGUUUUAAAAGUAUUAGCUGGUACUAGAACGUAUUGGUUCUACUCAACGUGAUAAUUAUCUGAUCGUUGAGGACAUUCCUUUCACGAGGAAUGGCCAUAGUAAAUUCAAUGGACUGCUUCUAAUCUGGCUUUAAUUCUUUAUUGGAUUAACCACUUUUCAAAUCUGACCUCGAAUCAGGUGGGACUACCCGCUGAACUUAAGCAUAUCAAUAAGCGGAGGA
Molecule: unclassified non-coding RNA, 416 nt
Filed under: soil metagenome
Description: partial contains 5.8S ribosomal RNA, internal transcribed spacer 2, and large subunit ribosomal RNA
Rfam family: 5.8S ribosomal RNA (bases 1-120)
Source: RNAcentral